Molecule: ribosomal RNA, 396 nt
Filed under: uncultured cyanobacterium
Lineage: Bacteria; Bacillati; Cyanobacteriota
Description: bacterial SSU rRNA
Rfam family: Bacterial small subunit ribosomal RNA
Source: RNAcentral
CCUGGACGGAGCAUACCGCGUGCGGGAGGAGGCCCUUGGGUCGUAAACCGCUUUUCUUAGGGAAGAAACCUGACGGUACCUAAGGAAUAAGCCUCGGCUAACUCCGUGCCAGCAGCCGCGGUAAUACGGAGGAGGCAAGCGUUAUCCGGAAUUAUUGGGCGUAAAGAGUCCGUAGGUGGUUGGACAAGUCUGCGGUUAAAGAGUGCAGCUCAACUGCAUAAAGGCCGUGGAAACUGUCGAACUAGAGUAUGGUAGGGGUAGGGGGAAUUCCCAGUGUAGCGGUGAAAUGCGUAGAGAUUGGGAAGAACACCGGUGGCGAAAGCGCCCUGCUGGGCCAUAACUGACACUGAGGGACGAAAGCUAGGGUAGCGAAUGGGAUUAGAUACCCCAGUAGUC